Molecule: ribosomal RNA, 406 nt
Filed under: uncultured bacterium
Lineage: Bacteria
Description: partial 16S ribosomal RNA
Rfam family: Bacterial small subunit ribosomal RNA
Source: RNAcentral
AUUGAACGCUGGCGGCAGGCCUAACACAUGCAAGUCGAGCGAGCGGCGGACGGGUGAGUAAUGUAUGGGGAUCUGCCCGAAAGAGGGGGAUAACCACUGGAAACGGUAGCUAAUACCGCAUACCCUCAGAUGAGCCCAGAUGGGAUUAGGUAGUUGGUGAGGUAGAAGCUCACCAAGCCGACGAUCUCUAGCUGGUCUGAGAGGAUGACCAGCCACACUGGGACUGAUACACGGCCCAGACUCCUACGUGAGGCAGCGGUGGGGAAUAUUGCGCAAUGGGGGCAACCCUGACGCAGCCAGGCCGCGUGAAUGAAGAAGGCCUUCGGGUUGUAAAGUUCUUUCGGUAGCGAGGCGUUAACUACAGAAGAAGCACCGGCUAACUCCGUGCCAGCAGCCGCGGUAAUUC